UUCUAUGGCCAUACCACCCUGAACACGCCUGAUCUCAUCUGAUCUCAGAAGCUAAGCAGGGUCAGGCCUGGUUAGUACUUGGAUGGGAGAAUAUUAAGUUAGCCCAAAAU
This 110-nucleotide ribosomal RNA is filed under the name Jaculus jaculus (lesser Egyptian jerboa). The record is from RNAcentral. Lineage: Eukaryota; Metazoa; Chordata; Mammalia; Rodentia; Dipodidae.